GUGUCUGGUGGGUAGUUUGACUGGGGCGGUCUCCUCCUAAAGAGUAACGGAGGAGCACGAAGGUUGGCUAAUCCUGGUCGGACAUCAGGAGGUUAGUGCAAUGGCAUAAGCCAGCUUGACUGCGAGCGUGACGGCGCGAGCAGGUGCGAAAGCAGGUCAUAGUGAUCCGGUGGUUCUGAAUGGAAGGGCCAUCGCUCAACGGAUAAAAGGUACUCCGGGGAUAACAGGCUGAUACCGCCCAAGAGUUCAUAUCGACGGCGGUGUUUGGCACCUCGAUGUCGGCUCAUCACAUCCUGGGGCUGAAGUAGGUCCCAAGGGUAUGGCUGUUCGCCAUUUAAAGUGGUACGCGAGCUGGGUUUAGAACGUCGUGAGACAGUUCGGUCCCUAUCUGCCGUGGGCGCUGGAAGACUGAGGGGGGCUGCUCCUAGUACGAGAGGACCGGAGUGGACGCAUCACUGGUGUUCGGGUUGUCAUGCCAAUGGCACUGCCCGGUAGCUAAAUGCGGAAAAGAUAAGUGCUGAAAGCAUCUAAGCACGAAACUUGCCCCGAGAUGAGUCUUCCCUGAGACUUUGAGUCUCCUGAAGGAACGUUAAAGACGAUGACGUUGAUAGGCCGGGUGUGUAAGCGCAGCGAUGCGUUGAGCUAACCGGUACUAAUGAACCGUGAGG
This 668-nucleotide ribosomal RNA is filed under the name Salmonella enterica. RNAcentral describes it as "partial 23S ribosomal RNA". It matches the Rfam family "Bacterial large subunit ribosomal RNA", at positions 2254 to 2916 of the family's 2925-position model. The record is from RNAcentral. Lineage: Bacteria; Pseudomonadati; Pseudomonadota; Gammaproteobacteria; Enterobacterales; Enterobacteriaceae.